Molecule: transfer RNA, 87 nt
Filed under: Gammaproteobacteria bacterium
Lineage: Bacteria; Pseudomonadati; Pseudomonadota; Gammaproteobacteria
Description: tRNA-Ser
Rfam family: tRNA
About the family: Transfer RNA (tRNA) molecules are approximately 80 nucleotides in length. Their secondary structure includes four short double-helical elements and three loops (D, anti-codon, and T loops). Further hydrogen bonds mediate the characteristic L-shaped molecular structure. tRNAs have two regions of fundamental functional importance: the anti-codon, which is responsible for specific mRNA codon recognition, and the 3' end, to which the tRNAs corresponding amino acid is attached (by aminoacyl-tRNA synthetases). tRNAs cope with the degeneracy of the genetic code in two manners: having more than one tRNA (with a specific anti-codon) for a particular amino acid; and 'wobble' base-pairing, i.e. permitting non-standard base-pairing at the 3rd anti-codon position.
Source: RNAcentral
GGAGAGGUGGCUGAGUGGUUUAAGGCACCGGUCUUGAAAACCGACGAGGGUGUGAGCCCUCCGCGGGUUCGAUCCACCUCUCCACCA